RNAcentral lists this transfer RNA (95 nucleotides) under Thiemannella venezuelensis. Its description in RNAcentral is "Planomonospora venezuelensis tRNA-Pro". Lineage: Bacteria; Bacillati; Actinomycetota; Actinomycetes; Streptosporangiales; Streptosporangiaceae. The record is from RNAcentral.
CCGCAGCUGGGCCACGGCCUGAGCCCGUGGCUCCUGGACGGCCGUCGAGCGAAGGAGGACCGAUGAAGCUGAGGUUCGACCCCUGGGACGUGGGC